This 253-nucleotide ribosomal RNA is filed under the name uncultured bacterium. Its description in RNAcentral is "partial 16S ribosomal RNA". It matches the Rfam family "Bacterial small subunit ribosomal RNA", at positions 524 to 776 of the family's 1533-position model. The record is from RNAcentral.
UACGGAGGGUGCGAGCGUUGUCCGGAUUUAUUGGGUUUAAAGGGUGCGUAGGUGGCCUUAUAAGUCAGUGGUGAAAUACGGUUGCUUAACAAUCGAGGUGCCAUUGAUACUGUGAGGCUUGAAAUAAUUGGAGGCUGCCGGAAUGGAUGGUGUAGCGGUGAAAUGCAUAGAUAUCAUCCAGAACACCGAUUGCGAAGGCAGGUGGCUACGAUUGAUUUGACACUGAGGCACGAAAGCGUGGGGAUCAAACAGG